RNAcentral lists this ribosomal RNA (468 nucleotides) under uncultured bacterium. Its description in RNAcentral is "partial 16S ribosomal RNA". It matches the Rfam family "Bacterial small subunit ribosomal RNA", at positions 28 to 507 of the family's 1533-position model. The record is from RNAcentral.
GACGAACGCUGGCGGCGUGCUUAACACAUGCAAGUCGAACGGAAAGGCCCUGCUUUUGUGGGGUGCUCGAGUGGCGAACGGGUGAGUAACACGUGAGUAACCUGCCCUUGACUUUGGGAUAACUUCAGGAAACUGGGGCUAAUACCGGAUAGGAGCUCCUGCUGCAUGGUGGGGGUUGGAAAGUUUCGGCGGUUGGGGAUGGACUCGCGGCUUAUCAGCUUGUUGGUGGGGUAGUGGCUUACCAAGGCUUUGACGGGUAGCCGGCCUGAGAGGGUGACCGGCCCCAUUGGACCUGAGAUACGGCCAAGACUCCUACGGGAGGCAGCAGUGGGGAAUAUUGCACAAUGGGCGGAAGCCUGAUGCAGCACCGCCGCGUGCGGGAUGACGGCCUUCGGGUUGUAAACCGCUUUCGCCUGUGACGAAGCGUGAGUGACGGUAAUGGGUAAAGAAGCACCGGCUAACUACGUG